Long non-coding RNA from Meriones unguiculatus (Mongolian gerbil), 828 nucleotides. RefSeq lists it as uncharacterized. The transcript has 3 exons. NCBI's taxonomy places the organism in Eukaryota, Metazoa, Chordata, Mammalia, Rodentia, Muridae. The record is from RefSeq and is a predicted model, not a curated record.
CGCUAAUGUGGGAGGGCUCUCAGAAACAGGCUCUUUAGUUAGGACAGUACCAUUCCCCAGAGCUUGGUCGGUGGCUCUGCAUUCAGCAUCAGAAUCCCUCUGCUCUCUUCCAGGCUCCCUGCAGGUGGGGCACCAGGAAGAAGCUGAAGCCCACCGGACUCCCUAGCCAGCGUGACAACUACAUCCACAAUGCAACUCUGCUCCCAUCAUGCCACCAACAAAGACAUUUCCGGUUAUCACAGCAUCUGCGGGUGAAACUCGAGGCUGUCCGAGGUAAUCAAUCCUGGGCAAGGCUUCGAAUGUCAGUCUCAAGUACAGAGAUCAGAGGACAAUGUGUGGGAACUGGCAUUCUCUCGUUUCUACAUGCGGGCCCCAGGAAUGAAACUCAUCUGUCAGACUCGUCAGCAAGCACCCUGACCCACUAAACCACCUCACUGGAAUCUCCUCGCCUUACAAACAAGAAGCAAAACCAGUCACCCUGCCUAGCACCACAUACCUGGUUAAAGGGUGGAACCGGGCUGUGAGAGCCUGUGCUCAUCAGCUGCAUCCUUCCUGUGGACAGUUUAUUCCUUCCCUCCAUGUCUGGAUACAAAUACAACUCAAGUGUUGCAGGUACCUCUCUUGGCCUUCUAACUACCUACACCUUCCUGUCCCUCUCCUUGGCACUCAUGUCGCCUGGAGGCGUGCUCUCGUUCCCUCAGUUGGCAGGAAGCCAUCGGGAGUCUGGGCCGGCUAGACGACCGCUUGUGAACUCUUGCAGACUCCAUUUGGGGAGACUUAAAUGUGGGGACUGGUGAUCAUGUUUUAUAAAAAUCCUUUGUAAAUCUG